GGAGGCUUCGCCUAGUCUGGUCUAUGGCGCCGCACUGCUAAUGCGGUUUGGGGUUACGCUCCAUCCCGGGUUCAAAUCCCGGAGCCUCCG
Molecule: transfer RNA, 90 nt
Filed under: Pseudonocardia sp.
Lineage: Bacteria; Bacillati; Actinomycetota; Actinomycetes; Pseudonocardiales; Pseudonocardiaceae
Description: tRNA-Ser
Rfam family: tRNA
About the family: Transfer RNA (tRNA) molecules are approximately 80 nucleotides in length. Their secondary structure includes four short double-helical elements and three loops (D, anti-codon, and T loops).
Source: RNAcentral